CACGUAGUUAGCCGUGGCUUUCUGAUUAGGUACCGUCAAGACGUGCAUAGUUACUUACACGUAUGUUCUUCCCUAAUAACAGAGUUUUACGAUCCGAAGACCUUCAUCACUCACGCGGCGUUGCUCCGUCAGGCUUUCGCCCAUUGCGGAAGAUUCCCUACUGCUGCCUCCCGUAGGAGUCUGGACCGUGUCUCAGUUCCAGUGUGGCCGAUCACCCUCUCAGGUCGGCUACGUAUCGUCGCCUUGGUAAGCCGUUACCUUACCAACUAGCUAAUACGGCGCGGGUCCAUCUAUAAGUGAUAGCAAAACCAUCUUUCACUAUCGAACCAUGCGGUUCGAAAUAUUAUCCGGUAUUAGCUCCGGUUUCCCGAAGUUAUCCCAGUCUUAUAGGUAGGUUACCCACGUGUUACUCACCCGUCCGCCGCUAACGUCAAAGGAGCAAGCUCCUUGUCUGUUCGCUCGACUUGCAUGUAUUAGGCACGCCGCCAGCGUUCAUCCUGAGCCAGGAUCAAACUCU
This 517-nucleotide ribosomal RNA is filed under the name uncultured Staphylococcus sp. RNAcentral describes it as "partial 16S ribosomal RNA". The record is from RNAcentral. Lineage: Bacteria; Bacillati; Bacillota; Bacilli; Caryophanales; Staphylococcaceae.